AUGAACGCUGGCGGCGUGCCUAAUACAUGCAAGUCGCGCGAACAGACGAGGAGCUUGCUCCUCUGACGUUAGCGGCGGACGGGUGAGUACCACGUGGAUAACCUACCUAUAAGACUGGGAUAACUUCGGGAAACCGGAGCUAAUACCGGAUAAUAUAUUGAACCGCAUGGUUCAAUAGUGAAAGACGGUUUUGCUGUCACUUAUAGAUGGAUCCGCGCCGCAUUAGCUAGUUGGUAAGGUAACGGCUUACCAAGGCAACGAUGCGUAGCCGACCUGAGAGGGUGAUCGGCCACACUGGAACUGAGACACGGUCCAGACUCCUACGGGAGGCAGCAGUAGGGAAUCUUCCGCAAUGGGCGAAAGCCUGACGGAGCAACGCCGCGUGAGUGAUGAAGGUCUUCGGAUCGUAAAACUCUGUUAUUAGGGAAGAACAAAUGUGUAAGUAACUAUGCACGUCUUGACGGUACCUAAUCAGAAAGCCACGGCUAACUACGUG
This 496-nucleotide ribosomal RNA is filed under the name uncultured bacterium. RNAcentral's name for it is "partial 16S ribosomal RNA". It matches the Rfam family "Bacterial small subunit ribosomal RNA", at positions 29 to 507 of the family's 1533-position model. The record is from RNAcentral.